RNAcentral lists this ribosomal RNA (253 nucleotides) under uncultured bacterium. RNAcentral describes it as "partial 16S ribosomal RNA". It matches the Rfam family "Bacterial small subunit ribosomal RNA", at positions 524 to 776 of the family's 1533-position model. The record is from RNAcentral.
UACGUAGGGUGCAAGCGUUAAUCGGAAUUACUGGGCGUAAAGCGUGCGCAGGCGGUUAUGUAAGACAGUUGUGAAAUCCCCGGGCUCAACCUGGGAACUGCAUCUGUGACUGCAUAGCUAGAGUACGGUAGAGGGGGAUGGAAUUCCGCGUGUAGCAGUGAAAUGCGCAGAUAUCGGGAGGAACACCGGUGGCGAAGGCGGUUCUCUGGGCCUGACCUGACGCUGAGGAGCGAAAGCGUGGGGAGCGAACAGG